RNAcentral lists this ribosomal RNA (253 nucleotides) under uncultured bacterium. RNAcentral describes it as "partial 16S ribosomal RNA". It matches the Rfam family "Bacterial small subunit ribosomal RNA", at positions 524 to 776 of the family's 1533-position model. The record is from RNAcentral.
UACAGAGGGUGCGAGCGUUAAUCGGAAUUACUGGGCGUAAAGCGCGCGUAGGCGGCUUUGUAAGUUAGAGGUGAAAGCCCGGGGCUCAACCCCGGAACUGCCUUUAAGACUGCAUCGCUUGAAUCCGGGAGAGGUGAGUGGAAUUCCGAGUGUAGAGGUGAAAUUCGUAGAUAUUCGGAAGAACACCAGUGGCGAAGGCGGCUCACUGGACCGGCAUUGACGCUGAUGUGCGAAAGCGUGGGGAGCAAACAGG